Pollicipes pollicipes is the source of this 630-nucleotide long non-coding RNA. RefSeq lists it as uncharacterized. The record is from RefSeq and is a predicted model, not a curated record. The transcript is spliced from 4 exons. NCBI's taxonomy places the organism in Eukaryota, Metazoa, Arthropoda, Thecostraca, Pollicipedomorpha, Pollicipedidae.
CACCAAAGAGAAGGCAGCCAAGAGUCAGGCGUCACCGAAGCCGGCCCCGGCGCCCGCGCCCGACUCCAGCGUGCCUUGCGACUGGCUGGUGGGGGACGUGGUGUGGGCACGGGUCAGCGGGUACCCGCUCUGGCCGGCCAUCGUCCUCUACGACACCGGGGAGGGACAGUUCACCAAGGUCGUCAGGAAGGCCGGCUGCAAGACGUCGCGGCGGUACCACGUGCGCUUCUUCGGCGACCUGUGCCGCGGCUGGAUCCACCCGAACAACCUGCGCCCGUUCGAGGGGCGCGCCCAGUUCGACCAGCUGGCGCGCGCCGAGCAGGCCGGGCCGCGGCGCGUCGCCGGCAAGGAGAGCAGCCAGUUCCGUCUCUCCAGCCGCAACCUGCCCAAGUGGCUGACGGGCGUGGCCGAGGCCACGGCCAGCGCCGCGCUGGAGAGGUACGAGCGCGUAAAGCCGUUCGUGGCGCAGGACGAGCCGGGGGCCCCCGCUGCGGAGCCAGAGCCGGCUCCUGCACCCAAGCCAAAGCCGCGCCGGCGCAAAUCCGCGCCCGCCUCGGUACAGGCGUCCGCCACCCCCGCUCCCUCCGCCACCGUCACCGCCUCCUCUCCCGCCCCUGGCACCGCCCCCAG